UGGCCCAGUGGCUCAGUUGGUUAGAGCGCCGCCCUGUCACGGCGGAGGUCACGGGUUCGAGUCCCGUCUGGGUCGU
This 76-nucleotide transfer RNA is filed under the name uncultured Clostridium sp. Its description in RNAcentral is "tRNA-Asp(gtc)". It matches the Rfam family "tRNA". From Rfam's summary of the family: Transfer RNA (tRNA) molecules are approximately 80 nucleotides in length. Their secondary structure includes four short double-helical elements and three loops (D, anti-codon, and T loops). Further hydrogen bonds mediate the characteristic L-shaped molecular structure. tRNAs have two regions of fundamental functional importance: the anti-codon, which is responsible for specific mRNA codon recognition, and the 3' end, to which the tRNAs corresponding amino acid is attached (by aminoacyl-tRNA synthetases). tRNAs cope with the degeneracy of the genetic code in two manners: having more than one tRNA (with a specific anti-codon) for a particular amino acid; and 'wobble' base-pairing, i.e. permitting non-standard base-pairing at the 3rd anti-codon position. The record is from RNAcentral. Lineage: Bacteria; Bacillati; Bacillota; Clostridia; Eubacteriales; Clostridiaceae. RNAcentral also lists the same sequence under 1 other name.